UUUGAUCAUGGCUCAGGGACGAACGCUGGCGGGCGUGCUAAUACAUGCAAGUCGAGCGGACAGAUGGGAGCUUGCUCCCUGAUGUCAGCGGCGGACGGGUGAGUAACACGUGGGUAACCUGCCUGUAAGACUGGGAUAACUCCGGGAAACCGGGGCUAAUACCGGAUGCUUGAUUGAACCGCAUGGUUCAAUUAUAAAAGGUGGCUUUUAGCUACCACUUACAGAUGGACCCGCGGCGCAUUAGCUAGUUGGUGAGGUAACGGCUCACCAAGGCAACGAUGCGUAGCCGACCUGAGAGGGUGAUCGGCCACACUGGGACUGAGACACGGCCCAGACUCCUACGGGAGGCAGCAGUAGGGAAUCUUCCGCAAUGGACGAAAGUCUGACGGAGCAACGCCGCGUGAGUGAUGAAGGUUUUCGGAUCGUAAAACUCUGUUGUUAGGGAAGAACAAGUACCGUUCGAAUAGGGCGGUACCUUGACGGUACCUAACCAGAAAGCCACGGCUAACUACGUGCCAGCAGCCGCGGUAAUACGUAGGUGGCAAGCGUUGUCCGGAAUUAUUGGGCGUAAAGCGCGCGCAGGCGGUUUCUUAAGUCUGAUGUGAAAGCCCCCGGCUCAACCGGGGAGGGUCAUUGG
This 637-nucleotide ribosomal RNA is filed under the name Bacillus sp. NCIM2191. RNAcentral describes it as "bacterial SSU rRNA". It matches the Rfam family "Bacterial small subunit ribosomal RNA", at positions 12 to 629 of the family's 1533-position model. The record is from RNAcentral. Lineage: Bacteria; Bacillati; Bacillota; Bacilli; Caryophanales; Bacillaceae.